CGGAGGGUGCAAGCGUUAUCCGGAUUCACUGGGUUUAAAGGGUGCGUAGGUGGGUAAGUAAGUCAGUGGUGAAAUCUCCGGGCUUAACCCGGAAACUGCCAUUGAUACUAUUUGUCUUGAAUACUGUGGAGGUCAGCGGAAUAUGUCAUGUAGCGGUGAAAUGCUUAGAUAUGACAUAGAACACCAAUUGCGAAGGCAGCUGGCUACACAAAUAUUGACACUGAGGCACGAAAGCGUGGGGAUCAAACAGGAUUAGAUACCCUGGUAGUCCACGCCCUAAACUAUGGAUACUCGACAUUUGCGAUAAACUGCAAGUGUCCGAGCGAAAGCAUUAAGUAUCCCACCUGGGAAGUACGAUCGCAAGAUUG
Molecule: ribosomal RNA, 368 nt
Filed under: uncultured organism
Description: bacterial SSU rRNA
Rfam family: Bacterial small subunit ribosomal RNA
Source: RNAcentral